GCCGCCGUAGCUUAGUUGGCUGGAGCGGCCGGCUGUUAACCGGCAGGUCGCAGGUUCGAAUCCUGCCGGCGGCG
Transfer RNA from Aciduliprofundum boonei T469, 74 nucleotides. It matches the Rfam family "tRNA". Rfam says of the family: Transfer RNA (tRNA) molecules are approximately 80 nucleotides in length. Their secondary structure includes four short double-helical elements and three loops (D, anti-codon, and T loops). NCBI's taxonomy places the organism in Archaea, Methanobacteriati, Thermoplasmatota. The record is from Rfam.